UACGUAGGGGGCGAGCGUUGUCCGGAUUUAUUGGGCGUAAAGAGCGCGCAGGCGGUCGAUCAAGUCGAGUGUGAAAGCCCCCGGCUCAACUGGGGAGGGUCAUUCGAUACUGAUCGACUCGAAGGCAGGAGAGGGUAGUGGAAUUCCCGGUGUAGUGGUGAAAUGCGUAGAUAUCGGGAGGAACACCAGUGGCGAAGGCGACUACCUGGCCUGUUCUUGACGCUGAGGCGCGAAAGCUAGGGGAGCAAACGGG
RNAcentral lists this ribosomal RNA (253 nucleotides) under uncultured bacterium. RNAcentral's name for it is "partial 16S ribosomal RNA". It matches the Rfam family "Bacterial small subunit ribosomal RNA", at positions 524 to 776 of the family's 1533-position model. The record is from RNAcentral.